RNAcentral lists this ribosomal RNA (110 nucleotides) under Thermoplasmata archaeon. The record is from RNAcentral. Lineage: Archaea; Methanobacteriati; Thermoplasmatota; Thermoplasmata.
GGUAGGGAAACACCCGGUCUCAUCCCGAACCCGGAAGUUAAGCCUGCCACGUGCUAUUGAGUACUAUGGUGCGCGAGCCCAUGGGAAAGAUACCCCGCAAGGGGCUUGGA